Molecule: ribosomal RNA, 372 nt
Filed under: uncultured organism
Description: bacterial SSU rRNA
Rfam family: Bacterial small subunit ribosomal RNA
Source: RNAcentral
CGGGGGGUCCUAGCGUUGUUCGGAAUCAUUGGGCGUAAAGCGUGUGCAGGUGGUUUGGUAAGUUGGAUGUGAAAGCCCCGGGCUUAACCCGGGAAGUGCAUUCAAAACUACCAAACUUGAGCAGGGAAGAGGGUCGUGGAAUUCCAGGUGUAGUGGUGAAAUACGUAGAUAUCUGGAGGAACACCGGCGGCGAAGGCGGCGACCUGGUCCUAUACUGACACUCAUACACGAAAGCGUGGGGAUCAAACAGGAUUAGAUACCCUGGUAGUCCACGCCGUAAACGAUGGAUACUUGGUGUUGAAGGUAUUGACCCCUUCAGUGCCGUAGCUAACGCGUUAAGUAUCCCGCCUGGGGAGUACGGUCGCAAGAUUA